GCAAGAGCGUCUGUGCUGAACCACGGAGCCACCAGAGGGCGCGCGAUCCCGCCCCAACCAACUUCCCGCUGAGGUGCCAGAAGCAGCGAGGAGCUUCAACUUCCUCAGGGCAGCACGAGGGUCGUGUUAACUUGGUGUUCUUCAUUGAGAAAUGGAAUCCUCGUAUCGCUGAUCUAUGUAAACAAAUUGAAGAAUUGUCUGAAAGAAAAUAUGACAUGAACUUAUGAAUUCAACAGGUGAAGAUUUAGAACUUGAUAAAUCAACUUUGUGAGCUCGAGCUGUAAAAGCCAAAGGUCCGGUGAUGAUCCCAUACCCUUUUUUCCAGUCUCAUGUUGAAGAUUUUUAUGUAGAAGGCCUUCCCAAAGGAAUUUUUUUUUUUUUUUUUGAGAUGGAGUUUUCACUCUUAUCGCCCAGGCUGGGGUGCAAUGGCGCAACCUUGCUGGUCACUGCAACCUCUGCCUCCUGGGUUCAAGAAAUUCUCCUGCCUUAGCCUCCCAAGUCGCUGGGAUUACAUGUGCCCACCACCACACCAGGCUAAUUUUUGUAUUUUUAGUGGAGAUGGGGUUUCACCAUGUUGGCCGGGCCAGUCUCGAACUCCUGACGUCAAGUGAUCUUCCCGCCUCGACUCCUGACAUCAAGUGAUCUUCCCGCCUCGGCCUCCCAUAGUGCUGAGAUUACAGACGUGAACCCAUGCCUGGCCAGGAAUUUUGUUUUUUAGGAAGGCUUUCUACUAAUGGAAUUCCUGGCCUUGAGAGGAUGUUACUUUCGAAGGAAAGGAUUUUUUUGUUAUUAAAAGAAACAGGACCUUGCCCUGUCACUCAGGAUGGAGUUCAGUGCUCCUAUCAUGGCUCAUUAUAGCCUCAAACUCCCAGGCUGAAGCAAUCCUACCAUGUCAGCCUUCCCGUAGCUGGGACUACAGGUCUCACACCAUCACCCAGGCUGGAGUACAGUGGCACAACCUCUGCUCACUGCAGCCUCCACCUGCCAGGCUCAAGCAAUUCUCCUGCCUCAGCCUCCCGAGUAGCUGGGAUUACAGGUAAGUGCCACCACACCCAGCUGAUUUUUGUGUUUUUUUGUAGAGACGAGGUUUCGCCGUGUUUCCCAGACUGUUCUCAAACUCCUGAGCUCAAAGCAGUCCACCCACCUUGGCCUCCCAGAGUGCUGGGAUUACAGUUGAAGCAUAUGUCCUGCGAGCUUAGGGGUGCUACAAGUUGACCACUGCAGCAGUAAAGAUGACUCUGAAGAAUGGCGUGGGAUGGAUCCUUUCAAAUGCACUUGAGCAGCGGUCUCCAACCACAGGGCCACAGAGCUGGAGCUGGAUCUACCAUGAAGGACUUCUGAAUCCAGGAAGAGAGACUGACUGGGCAACAUGUUAUUCAGGGUCUCCCUCUGUUGUCCAAGGCUGGAGGGUAGUAGUGCUAUCGCAGCUGACUGCAGCCUCAACCUUCCAGGCUGAAGCGAUCCUCCCAUCUCAACCUCCCACGUGGCUGAGACUACAGGUGCUUGCCACUAUGCCCAACUAAUAUUUGGAAUUUUCGUAUACGUGGAUUCCAGAGGGGUGACAGCGAAACACGAGUGGGACCAUCCAGUUUCAGGAAAACAAGCUUAACACGCCCACUGAUUCUACAUUAUGAUUCUUCAGGCCCAGCAUCUGCCUCACUGUGGACCCCCCAAGCCAAGCUCCCAACCUUUCAGCAGCUUCUACACACCCAGCUCCCGCCUGCCAGUGGCCUCUUCAGGCCCAUGGGGCUCAUUCCUCACAACAGCCUUUCCAGUCCCAGUUUUUCCCUUCUGACGGCCUCUC
Long non-coding RNA from Gorilla gorilla gorilla (western lowland gorilla), 1804 nucleotides. RefSeq lists it as uncharacterized. The transcript has 11 exons. The record is from RefSeq and is a predicted model, not a curated record. NCBI's taxonomy places the organism in Eukaryota, Metazoa, Chordata, Mammalia, Primates, Hominidae.